Molecule: long non-coding RNA, 1462 nt
Filed under: Vigna radiata
Lineage: Eukaryota; Viridiplantae; Streptophyta; Magnoliopsida; Fabales; Fabaceae
Description: long non-coding RNA (VRAD_LNC007003)
Source: RNAcentral
UCUUACCCAUCUCUCUCAUUCCUCUCAAACAUCUCUUUUUCAUCUCUUUCACUCCAACUUUUUCUCUGUCAUCCCUACUCUAGCUCUAAUUGAAAAAAAAGAAUCAGAAACACUUGCCUUAUUUUAUUAAUUUUCAUUCUCAAAACUAAAAAAAGAAAACCUCAAACCCUUAUUCACCUCCUUCAUUCCUCUCAACCAUUUCUCCUUCAUCUCUCUCACUCAAACAUUUUCUUUGUCAUCUCUGCACUAGCCCCAACUAAAAAAACAUUCAUUAUUAUACGAUUUACUUUUGUUAAGAGUUUAGUCAUACUCACCUUUCGAAAAAUGUUCAUUCAAAAUCUCUUUAAUUUCAUUAUCUUCACUAUAUAUAUUACAGUCAACGGGCACAACAUGCACCAAGACUUAUGAGCAUCCUUCCUUUACAUUCCUUUACAUUCUGAGACUACUACGUAACAUUGAUCUAUAGCCAUUUAAUUUUUUUUGGUAGAAAUUCAUUAACUUGUUUUCCUUUACUAAAGAAAAAAACAAAUCAAAAUACAAUAAAAUUAUCAAUUAUAAAAUCAAACAAUAAAAAUUCUAAAUCUUGAAAUUUUAUUUAUAAUUAUAUAAAGAAAAAAUUAGGUGCUUUAAUUUUUUUAUUCAUGGAAGUAUUUUUUUUCUCUAACCAUUUUAUUUAAUAAUGAGUGUUUUUUUAGUUAAAGCUAGUGCAGAGAUGACAGAGGAAAUGUGUUGAGUGAGAGAGAUGAAGGAGAAAAGGUUGAGAGGAAUGAAGGAGGUGAGUAAGAGUUUGGGUUUUUUUUUUUUUUUAAUUUUGAGAAUGAAAAUGAUUAAAAUAAGACAAAUGUUUUUGAUUUUUUUCAAUUAGGACUAGAGUAGGGAUGACAGAGAAAAUGUUGGGGUGAAAGAGAUAAGAGAGAAAGGUUGAGAGGAAUGAGAGAGGUGAUAAGGGAUUUGGGGUUUCUUUUUUUAUUUUUUUUAUUUUGAGAAUGAAAAUUAUUAAAAUACCAUUAACCUUAAAACUUAGAAUUCAUGAUAUAAGGGUAUUUUUGUCUACUGAAAUCCGGUACACAUUGCUAAAAUGUACCAACUGAAAAACAGGCGUACGCAAGUUAGCAAACCCAUAUAUAUAUGAAUGCUAGAAUAGAUCGGAAUUGUUACUGUAAUACUUAUAGAUACUUCAACCCAUUCUAAAUAAAUUGUGACUUAAUCUGGACGCUCCGUGGGGUUAAACCUGUACCUCCAAUCAUUUCCUUCUACACCUCUAAUUCCGAAAAUAUUCCUAAUUAAUAAAUAGUUUAAAAUUUUAAUAUUUUGAUUAGUGAAAAUUUCUGUGUCAUCAUUGAUUCCACUUCCAUUUUCUUUCAAUCACUAAGCAUACAUUGUUGACCUCCGUAAUCCUUGACCCUGCACCCUUUCAUUCCUAUACCCCAUUUUCAUUUUUAUAAAAAAUCCUACACCCCUG